AGAUAUAUUGGCCCCCUUCAAUAUUUUAAUGUUUGAACAGCGCCAUCUAGUAUGUUUUAUGCGCUACGGGAUGCUCGCGGCAUGAUGGUAUUUAGUACCUUACAAAUCCGCUAGAGCCUGUCACGUUCGAUUGUCAUUCCAAACAGUUGAAAUUGUUUAUAAAUAGAGUAUUUUGGCUAUUGUCUUCGGACAUUGGAUACGUUGAAUUGUUCUUCUACGGGAAUUAGAAGAUGCCUAGACCAAGUGUGCUCUCUCCGAGAAAGAAACAAAAAAAAUGGGAUCCUGAACAAGUGAAAUAAGCAAUUAAAGCAGUAAGGCACAGGGUCAUGGGAUAAAAAAGGCUGUAAAAAUGUAUUCUGCGCCUAGAUCUAUACUGAAACGGUUAGUAAAGGACGCUCAGGAAUCUUUGUAGUUGCUUGUACAUAAACCACUAAGAAGGAAACGUGUACUUCCAGCUGAGCUGGAAAAAAGUUAGUGGAGUAUAUCUUGUGUAGUAUAUGUUAGUGGAGUCCAGGUACUAUGGGCUUACUAGAAUGGAUGUCUGGAAAAUGGCUUAUCAGUUAGCUGUUAAAAAUGGUAUUCUUAAUACAUUUAAGAAUGAAGCAGCAAGGCGUACUUAGUUAGAUCACUUUUUAAACCGACAUAGAGACACUGUAUCUUUACGCAGACCAAUGGGGACAUCAUAUGCUCGUACUCAAGGCUUCAAUCAUCAAGCAGUCAAAGAAUUUUUUAAUACUUUGGAAGCUGAAAUGAGGAAAACUAAUUAUCUGGCUGACAGGAUUUUUAAUGUUGACUAAACUGGAUUGGCAAUUGUGCAGUCAAAAAUACCACAGGUGCUAGGUAAAAAAGGCAAGAAGCAGAUAGGUGCCUUAACUGCUGCAGAACGAGGGUCACUAUGAACUGUUUGCUGCAUAAACCCAUUGGGUAUAUUUGUGUCAGCUAUGAUGAUUUUCAGCAGGAAAAACGUUACGGCCAUUUUUAUGAAUGAUACAAUCCAAUUUGUUCACUGAACAGUUUAAGCGAAUUUUAUUGAUAAAACAAACUCCAAGGUCGAAUCUUCAAUAUUACUCAUCUCUGAUGGCCAUUACAUUGACACACGCAACCUAGAAAUAAUAGAUCUAGCCGCGAAAAUCAUAUCAUGAUUAUCAGCCUCCCACCUCAUAGAACGCACAAGCUCCAGCCUUUGGACAAGACUUUUAUGGGUGCCCUAAAAGUCACUAUAGUGAGGAAAUUCUCAAGUUUUUUUUGCACUCGGACAGAAUGCUGAAACCUUACAACUUUACUGAUCUUUUUGGCAGAGCAUAUCUUAAGAGCACUACGGGAGAAAUCGCAGCAAAUUGGUUUCCGUGCCAAUGGCAUUUAUCCAUUUAAUCCUCAAGUUUUUACAGAAGUCGAUAUUUUAAUGGAAGAAUCUAACAAUAAUCAAACAUCUCCUACUCCUGAUAAUCAAUAUACAGGCCCUGUUGCUGACCAGAGUGCCCCAGGGGAGAGUGUAGAAGCACAAGCACAGGAGAAUAGUUUGGUUUUACCAGAAGACAUUCAGCCAAUUUCUACGACCAAGACUAGGACUUCUAAUCGUGGAAGAAAGGCUACAACAGCAAAGAAUCGUGAACGUGGACGUGCAAGAGGCGGUGGACGCGGACGCGGACACGGUGUCAGACGUAAUCACGACAGAGAAGGAUCCGGUAGGAAUGUCGUUCGACGCCAGAGAGAAGCUACAUCUAGAAGUGGCCCUGAAAGUGACCAAGACGUUGUGAAUACCGAUUAUGUCGAGCGUUUACAAACGCGAACGUGCCGUGUACGUUCUGCAAAACCAUUUAUUGACAGACCUGGAGAGCCAUGGGUACAGUGUCAAAGUUGCAAUUUAUGAGCUCAUGUAGCCUGUGGAGGUUCUGAAGUAUUUCUACUGAAUCAGUGUGUACCACCUUCAAGCAUACCUCAACGAACGUCAAGUACGCCACAAAUGGACCAAAAAAGGGAGGAAUCUUGGUUCUCCUAGUAGAAGAAAACACCUAUGUGGAAGCUCAGACGGGUUAUUCAAGUUUUUCCAGGGUCUGGCGGCGUUGUGCGUGUUGUUCAAGUGAAAAGUCAGGGUAGUGUUGUGGAAAUAUGUUAAUAAAUUGCGACCACUACCUAUUGACACGAAUGAAUAGUGUGUUCUCAUGUAUUUGACUUGGAGUUAUGACUGAGAGUCAAAAUAACUCUUUCUGUACAGGAUUUUGAUUAUUGUUUUCGGUUCUAAGAGGAAAUGUAAUACUUUGUUUUUGUUGAAAACUGCGCGUUUUCAAGGUGGGCCGUAUGUUUAAGAUAUGUUCGCCAUGUUGGGCAUUAUUUUGUUAUGUUAGUAAAUAUAUUUCAGUGGUUUCACAUCUAUUUCCGUGUUUCACAGAGGUCUGUCGAUUGAUCUCAGUCGACGUAGUUAUC
Molecule: long non-coding RNA, 2424 nt
Organism: Cylas formicarius (sweet potato weevil)
Lineage: Eukaryota; Metazoa; Arthropoda; Insecta; Coleoptera; Brentidae
Exons: 4
Source: RefSeq, a predicted model, not a curated record